GGGCGUGUAGCUCAGCGGGAGAGCACUACGGUGACAUCGUAGGGGUCGUUGGUUCAAACCCAACCACGCCCACCA
RNAcentral lists this transfer RNA (75 nucleotides) under Rhodobiaceae bacterium. RNAcentral describes it as "tRNA-Val". It matches the Rfam family "tRNA". Rfam says of the family: Transfer RNA (tRNA) molecules are approximately 80 nucleotides in length. Their secondary structure includes four short double-helical elements and three loops (D, anti-codon, and T loops). Further hydrogen bonds mediate the characteristic L-shaped molecular structure. tRNAs have two regions of fundamental functional importance: the anti-codon, which is responsible for specific mRNA codon recognition, and the 3' end, to which the tRNAs corresponding amino acid is attached (by aminoacyl-tRNA synthetases). tRNAs cope with the degeneracy of the genetic code in two manners: having more than one tRNA (with a specific anti-codon) for a particular amino acid; and 'wobble' base-pairing, i.e. permitting non-standard base-pairing at the 3rd anti-codon position. Lineage: Bacteria; Pseudomonadati; Pseudomonadota; Alphaproteobacteria; Hyphomicrobiales; Rhodobiaceae. The record is from RNAcentral.